RNAcentral lists this unclassified non-coding RNA (328 nucleotides) under soil metagenome. Its description in RNAcentral is "partial contains 5.8S ribosomal RNA, internal transcribed spacer 2, and large subunit ribosomal RNA". The stretch from base 1 to 120 matches the Rfam family "5.8S ribosomal RNA", at positions 35 to 154 of the family's 154-position model. The record is from RNAcentral.
GAUGAAGAACGUAGCGAAAUGCGAUACGUAAUGUGAAUUGCAGAAUUCAGUGAAUCAUCGAGUCUUUGAACGCACAUUGCGCCCCUUGGUAUUCCGAGGGGCAUGCCUGUUCGAGCGUCAUUAUAACCCCUCAAGCUCAGCUUGGUAUUGGGGCCUGCCAUCCUGGCAGCCCUUAAAAUCAGUGGCGGUGCCAUCCGGCUCUAAGCGUAGUAACUCCUCUCGCUAUGGAGUCCUGGUGGAUGCUUGCCAUUAAUCUUUUAACUUCUAUGGUUGACCUCGGAUCAGGUAGGGAUACCCGCUGAACUUACGUAUAUCAAUAAGCGGAGGA